RNAcentral lists this ribosomal RNA (864 nucleotides) under Hepatozoon canis. Its description in RNAcentral is "bacterial SSU rRNA". It matches the Rfam family "Eukaryotic small subunit ribosomal RNA", at positions 18 to 873 of the family's 1831-position model. Lineage: Eukaryota; Apicomplexa; Hepatozoidae. The record is from RNAcentral.
CCGUAGUCAUAUGCUUGUUUAAAGAUUAAGCCAUGCAUGUCUAAGUAUAAGCAAAAAUACAGCAAAACUGCAAAUGGCUCAUUAAAACAGUUAUGGUUUACUUGAUAAUAGUUUUUACAUGGAUAACCGUGGUAAUUCUACAGCUAAUACAUGAGCAAAAUCUCAACUUUAUUAGAAGAGACGCAUUUAUUAGAUAAAAAGCCAAUGCAUGCUUUUACAGUAUGAAAAUUGGUGAUUUAUAAUAACUUAGCAAAUCGCAAAGUGAAAACAGGCGAUAAAUCAUUCAAGUUUCUGACCUAUCAGGUUUCGACGGUAUGGUAUUGGCUUACCGUGGCAGUGACGGUUAACGGGGGAUUAGGGUUCGAUUCCGGAGAGGGAGCCUGAGAAACGGCUACCACAUCUAAGGAAGGCAGCAGGCGCGCAAAUUACCCAAUUCUAACAGUUUGAGAGAGGUAGUAACAAGAAAUAACAAUACAAGGCAGUUAAAAUGCUUUGUAAUUGGAAUGAUAGAAAUUUAAACCCUUUUUAAAGUAUCAAUUGGAGGGCAAGUCUGGUGCCAGCAGCCGCGGUAAUUCCAGCUCCAAUAGCGUAUAUUAAAAUUGUUGCAGUUAAAAAGCUCGUAGUUGAAGUUCUGCUAAAAGUAACCGGUCUGCUUUAAAUAAAGGUGGUAUCUUGGUGUGUAUUUAGCAAUGAUGUCCUUUGAAGUGUUUUUUACUUUAUUGUAAUAAAGCAUAUUCAGGACUUUUACUUUGAGAAAAUUAGAGUGUUUCUAGCAGGCUGACGCUUUGAAUACUGCAGCAUGGAAUAAUAAGAUAGGAUUUUAGUUCUACAUUAUUGGUUUUAAGAGCUAAAUUAAUGAUGAUA